RNAcentral lists this ribosomal RNA (253 nucleotides) under uncultured bacterium. Its description in RNAcentral is "partial 16S ribosomal RNA". It matches the Rfam family "Bacterial small subunit ribosomal RNA", at positions 524 to 776 of the family's 1533-position model. The record is from RNAcentral.
UACGGAGGGUGCAAGCGUUAUCCGGAUUCACUGGGUUUAAAGGGUGCGUAGGCGGGCAUGUAAGUCCGUGGUGAAAUCUCCGAGCUUAACUCGGAAACUGCCAUGGAUACUAUGUGUCUUGAAUGUUGUGGAGGUGAGCGGAAUAUGUCAUGUAGCGGUGAAAUGCUUAGAUAUGGCAUAGAACACCAAUUGCGAAGGCAGCUCACUACACAAAUAUUGACGCUGAGGCACGAAAGCGUGGGGAUCAAACAGG